RNAcentral lists this ribosomal RNA (253 nucleotides) under uncultured bacterium. RNAcentral's name for it is "partial 16S ribosomal RNA". It matches the Rfam family "Bacterial small subunit ribosomal RNA", at positions 524 to 776 of the family's 1533-position model. The record is from RNAcentral.
UACAGAGGUCUCAAGCGUUGUUCGGAUUCAUUGGGCGUAAAGGGUGCGUAGGUGGCGCCGUAAGUCAGGUGUGAAAUCUCGGGGCUCAACCCCGAAACUGCACUUGAUACUGCGGUGCUCGAGUACUGGAGAGGAGACUGGAAUUUACGGUGUAGCGGUGAAAUGCGUAGAUAUCGUAAGGAAGACCAGUGGCGAAGGCGGGUCUCUGGACAGUUCCUGACGCUGAGGCACGAAGGUCAGGGGAGCAAACGGG